AAUGAACGCUGGCGGAAUGCUUUACACAUGCAAGUCGAGCGGCAGCGCGGGGGCAACCCUGGCGGCGAGCGGCGAACGGGUGAGUAAUGCAUCGGAACGUACCCAGUCGUGGGGGAUAACGUGGCGAAAGUCACGCUAAUACCGCAUACGUCCUGAGGGAGAAAGCAGGGGAUCGCAAGACCUUGCGCGAUUGGAGCGGCCGAUGUCUGAUUAGCUAGUUGGUGGGUAAAGGCCUACCAAGGCGACGAUCAGUAGCUGGUCUGAGAGGACGACCAGCCACACUGGGACUGAGACACGGCCCAGACUCCUACGGGAGGCAGCAGUGGGGAAUAUUGGACAAUGGGGGCAACCCUGAUCCAGCGACGCCGCGUGUGUGAAGAAGGCCUGCGGGUUGUAAAGCACUUUUAGUGGGGAGGAAGGUCUGCGACCUAACACGUCGUGGAAUUGACUUAACCCACAGAAAAAGCACCGGCUAACUCUGUGCCAGCAGCCGACGG
RNAcentral lists this ribosomal RNA (497 nucleotides) under uncultured bacterium. Its description in RNAcentral is "bacterial SSU rRNA". It matches the Rfam family "Bacterial small subunit ribosomal RNA", at positions 29 to 520 of the family's 1533-position model. The record is from RNAcentral.